Molecule: non-coding RNA, 356 nt
Organism: Phascolarctos cinereus (koala)
Lineage: Eukaryota; Metazoa; Chordata; Mammalia; Diprotodontia; Phascolarctidae
Source: RefSeq, a predicted model, not a curated record
UCGAGGACAAGACUUUCAGUUGUUAAUUGGGGAAGACUCCCUAGAUUCGAAAGUGACUCAGACUUGAAAAAGAAGAGACAUGAUCUCCACUGGCCCUCUGAACUAAGAACACAGAAGCACAAGUAUGUGUUCAUUUAGUGGGGCUGAGCCAUCUGGAUGUGUGUCGGUCCUAACUGAAGAUCUCUGGAUCAUUGGACUUGGGAUGCUAUAGUCUUACCAACAGAGGCUUUGUAGUGAGAAGCAGGAAGUAGCGACAUAAAGGCUGCAUGACCUUGCCCACACGAUUGUACAGCUUCAGCAUCACUGUAGGGACCAUUGCAGAAAACAAUUUGUUUCCCCCUGCCAAAUAACUGGAG